UUUUUUUUUUUUUUGACUAUGUGUAGCUAUCAGUAUUUAGAAAAGAACAACCCAUGGGUUUUUUUCCCCCAACUCUGCAUUUUUGAGCUUUGUGUAAAUACAAAUGCCUCAACUUUUCACUCUUUUAUUGUGGAAAGUUACAAAUUCAGGCAUGGAAAAAAAGGGACACUAUUGAGUAAGGUGUUACACAUUUAUUGGCUGAACAGUCAUUAUAGUAGGGAUUACACAACUCACACACUACACACAAAAAGAAGUAAUAGCUGCUAAAAAUCCAAUUCAAGGAUGUAUAAUUUGAUUACUUCUAUUAACACUAAGCUCAGUUCCUCCCUCAAUUACAAAUACACGAUUCUCAAUGUAGCAAUAAGAGGCCAAUAUAGGAUAAAUAUUUAGUCCUUAUCCUCAGUUUCACACCUCUCUAACUUUAAAAAAGCCCACCCUGUAUUCUAAUAUUUCUGGGAAGAAAUCCAUGUGCAUCAUUUGGUUAAUCCUGCAAACAUAUUAAAAUCAACUUUCAGAUUUUUCUCAACAUUUGCAAGGAAGAUCCUUUGUCAUGGCAAAUGCCUUCUUUUCAAAACAAAAAUGUACAUCAGACAUUCACAAGAUUUACUAAUAAUUAGUUGUUUUUAAAGUGAGACUUUAAUUCUUUAUAUAUAGAGUUAAAAUGGAAAUAAAGAAAAAAAAUCAAUGAAAAUGCUAGAUAAAUUGACAUUAUUUUUCUCUCCUUCUUCUCUGCCCUCCAACCUCAAUAUAAUUUUUUCUAGACUCCUGCACAUGGAAAAACUCUUCCAAAUAGUUGAACACUAGGUUUUUUUCCAAGUUUUGAUCAAAUUUUACUGGUCUUUAGCCUCCCAGGAAGGCCAGCUGAAAUAUCCACUCCCUCUCUGUUUCUCAUGCAGGCUGUUAGUGGUGUGUUUGUUCCCUUCUGGGUGCAAAACACAGAACUUAUUUCAAACCCAUUGAUGUGUUGUGCAGCCCUAUUUUCCAAGAAAAUUGGAUCCUGCUGCCAAGGGAUGAAUGAAGCUGGGAAAAUAAUGUUAGAAAGGUAGAAAAAGAGCCAAUCACGAGGUUCAAGGAGUAACAAUUUGCAGUUAAACUGAAUUGCUCAGAGGCAGGGCAGUGACAGAGCUUUUUUGUGAGAUAAGUCCCAUUAGACAGGAGAUAGAGGAGCACUUUGAACUUGGGCUGGAUGUAAAAUGGAUGAGGGCUACCAGGACUGACCUUUUUUUGAAUUAUGAUGAUCCUAACAGGGAGACUUAAGUGAAAACUGAUGGAGGGAAAGCAGGGCUGCAGUUAACUGGGAAAAGAGAGCAUUUGGCUGUUUGAAGGGCCAUAGGUAAAAGCAGAAAAUUUCAGUGGACAUCCACAAAUAACGAGAGGCAUAAUUUAUUCAAGAAACUAUCCUUUCAAUUGACAGCCACAAGCACAGUACCAUGGUCUUUCUCUCCCUAAGCAGUCCCUGUACCUAGAUUGUCUUACUUCUUACUGUGGCACAAAAAUCUUUUCAAUCUCAGCUUCUUUGUGAUGUUAGGGCUUCAGGCAACUAUUAGAAAAAUUCAUAAGGAAAACAAUUAACUCCUUUUAAGUCUAUUUAUACUCUGUUUUCAUGGCUUCACAUUUCAUUUCCAGAAAGCGCAACGGAAUUUACUGCUAUGCUCCCAAGUGCUACUGGCAAAGUUAUUACUCUAUUUAUUAUGAUAGCAGUGUUUAAUCAUUAUAUACGUAAUAGUAUCAAAGAGUCUCAGUUAUAAUCCCUUAAUUAUGAAAACCUUAUGAGUAAACCCAGCUUUUAUUAUUGAAGAAUAAUACUGUAAGCAGCAGUUGCUUUGAAGGGCAACACGCAGGCCAAAGGUAAAAAAAAGGCCAGUGAAAUUUCUGAGAGGCUCUAAACACAGACACAGGGAGAGCUGUGGAUGCAGCGAGAGCAAUCUCUUCUCUCUAGGAGUUCAUCUCUGAGCAGGCUGAGCCAUUAGAGGGACCAUAAUAUUCUGCAGCAGGUCAGGUUUCCAUGCUGGAAAGGCUGUGGCACAGCAGUUUGGACCUCAGGCCUCAUUUUUUCCUGGGAAAUAACUGUGCUGUGAUUUAUGACUUGCCUGGUGCAGCUAAUGCAGGUUUUCUCUUUUUGAAUCCUGAAUAUUUGCCUAACCAGCCAGCCUUGUGCCCAUCUGCCCUUGUGCUCGUGGAUAUUGACUUCCUUAUCCUUGCAAAUGCGCAAGGAAUUUUAUUGGGAAAAGGCAAAUGUCAAAAGUGUAAAGCUACUUUAAUAAAACUGGCUGGGAUCAGGUUUCCCUGCUGGCUGCCUGCCAUUGAAAAUCCCUUUGUUAGCUUUUUAAAAUUUCCUGUGACAAAAAGAGCCCUUUUCAUUUCUUUCUAUCAGAUAGAACAAGUUUAAUUAAAAUGUGAAGAAUUUUACUAAAAAUGUCAUAGCACAGAAAUCUUGGGGCAACUUUCCUUUUGAACCUGCAUUAUUUUGUGGUUUACAUUAUUUUAAGGACAGUUCUAAGCCUCAUCGAUGGGGCUUGAACGAACAAGAAAAGAAUUCAUUAAUUAUAUUACCAAGUUUUAGAGUGAUUUUAUCCAUCCAUUUUCCAGGCAUGCUGAUAAAAGUUUCAUGAAAAACAGGGAUCAUGAGCUGCUGUGGGGGUGGAAAAAAAAAAUAAAAGAAAAUACAUGUUAAAUAUGAACACAAUGAAACAAUUAAAGCAAAUGAAAGCAUUUCUGUGCAGCUGGAACCCACGAUUGAUAUACUGUGCACUGGACUGAGAGUUGGAGGAAACUCUCAUUGUCCCUACAGCUGCUUUAAUUGGCAAUAUUGAUGUUAGCAUAAGGAGCUAGUGAGAUCAAAUGCAUCAUCCAAGUAAAAAUUCCAGUAUUUGACUAGAAAAAAUACCAGCUACAGGUUUGGACAUCCACUGUUUAAAUUUCACUGGGUUACUAUGACAUGUGAAGCACUUGGCAUGAACAAAUAGUUUUUACCAAAACAAUUAGACUCCAUUAAAAUGGGAUCUUUUAAAACGCUUGGCACAUCUUAAUAUUUUAGCCAUGAAAAGAGAUGUGAUCAGAGGAGUAAAUGCAAUUUUGGUGUCAUGUACCUAUUAGAAAUGUAAUGAAAUAUGAACAAAGUUAAAUUUCACAACAAAGCCACCUUAUUUCCAGCAUCAAGGCGAUGUUUGGUGUGCAGGGCACAGAAGGGCAGGGUGUAAAAAUCCUGAGAGGUUUGACAUCGGUUUCCUUAGUGCAUCUCUCUGUUCUGUUGGGCUGUGCUCAUUCAAAAAGAGGACAGAUGUCAGAUAAAACUUGUUCUGGCAUCCCUGGCUGCUUGCUAGUGGCUCACCUGCUGCUGUUUGGGAGCAGCUCUGGGGAUAAAUGAAGCAGUGACAGAUGCCUGGUCCCAAAAAAACGGGGGGAGAUAAGGGACUUCCCAAACAGCACCUCACAGAGCAGGAGGCAGAGACAAGCAUCACACAAGCCAGCAGUGGACUCAUUCCAAACAUUCUUUUUAUCCUCUAAUCACCCUUAUUUGAUUCUCUUUCGUUCCCCCACCUCCUCCAAAGGCACAAUGAGGAAUAACUCAGGUUCCAUAGAAGAUUUUGCCAGAGCCAAUAGAAAGAAGUGCUGGUAGCUGUGUAAAAAUCUCAUUGUUUUUUAAAAACACAAAAGGAGAAUUAGCUGGGCCUAGCCUUGGGCCAGACCUGCUAAUUUUCUGCAGCAUAAAGUCAUUACACAUUUCAGGAGGUUCUCAGGAGCUGAUAGGAACCAUCUGAGCUGCAGAGUUAUAGAGGAAUUCCAGUCUCUGAUGAAAGGAUUGAGCAGGGAAUCCCUGGAGAGAUGGGAAGCCCAAGAGGUGUGGGAGGCUGGGACAGGGUGGGGACAAAAAGAUGUGGCUGGAGAUGGGCACUGAGAGGGUGUGUGACACCCAAAAGAUGUGGGAAGCUCUGGCAGAGGUGGAAAACGUGAAUGUAUGGGAGAACAAGAAUAUUUGGGAUGUGCAGCCAGAGGUGGAUUCCAGAAAGGUGAGGUAGGACAAAAAUUUGUGGGACAAAAGGAGGGUCAAACCUGUAUAUGUGUCAGACUGAUCAAAUGUGAGUUCCCAGCUAUUAAUAAAUACAUUUAGUCCUAUUUUUAAACCUUUCCAAACACUGCUUAGUUUCUGCAUGUUUUGAAAUGAAGUUAUCUCAGAAACAGAACUCUGGUUCCAAGGCUGCUCUGAGCCCUGGAAACAGCCUGAGAAAAGGGAACUCUGUGUACAUCAUGUUUCCCUCACUUCAGAUUAUAACAUGGAAUAGGUGAGGUAUGGCAAAAUUUAGAAUUCAAAUGUCAAAAUACAGAUUUCUUUGGCUCAAAUUUAAUUCAAAGACCAGCAGCUUAUAAUGAGUCCUGGGUACCUUUAACUCUCAGGUCAUCUCUUGGGGUGAUUGUUCAAGGUGCUCUGCUUAUGUUUGGUGGAAUUUACACAGGGAAAGCACUGCCUUAGUGAAUAAGAGACUGAAAAUGCAUGUCCAAGAAUACCAUUCUUCAUCUUGGAGAUAUAAAACCUAAAAGCAGAUAUGUAGAGAUCAGAAAUACAUUCUUAGCUAGGGUAUCACUGCUGCAUUUUCAACAGAUUAAUUCACAGGACUAGGUUUAAAAAAAAAAAAACAAAAAAAA
This 4644-nucleotide long non-coding RNA is filed under the name Taeniopygia guttata (zebra finch). RNAcentral's name for it is "lncRNA (ENSTGUG00000027308.1)". The record is from RNAcentral. Lineage: Eukaryota; Metazoa; Chordata; Aves; Passeriformes; Estrildidae.